Molecule: long non-coding RNA, 643 nt
Filed under: Pan troglodytes (chimpanzee)
Lineage: Eukaryota; Metazoa; Chordata; Mammalia; Primates; Hominidae
Description: long non-coding RNA NONPTRT014087
Source: RNAcentral
UUGUAGACAGUCAACACCAUUAAACAAAAAAUCAAUUCCUGGGCCGAGCGCAGUGGCUCAUGCUUGUAAUCCACACUGCCAGCCUCCACAACCGUGAGAAAAUAAACAUCUGUUGUUUAAGCAUACCCUCUCUUCAUAGGGAUUAUUGGAGCCUAGAAGAGUGCAUGGACACUUUUCAUUAUUAUUAUUAUUUACUAGAUUAUCACCCCAACAGAAUAGGAACUGAAUUCCUUUUUGCAAGUAGGUGUUCAAUAAUUAUUUGUUGAAUGAAUGAAUGCUAUGGCUACUAUAUGGAAUUUCUAGGUCAAAUAGGAGCAGAAGGCUGGGGGUAUGGGGGCUUGCACUUGUAAUCCCAGCACUUUGGGAGUCCGAGUCUGGAGGAUCACUUACACCUAGGAGUUACUAGCCUGGGCAACAUAGGGAGAUUCCAUGUCUACAAAAAAUAAUAAAAAAUAGCCAGGUGUGGUGGCCCGCACCUGUAAUCCCAGCUACAUGGGAGGCUGAAGCAGGAGGAUCACUUGCACAUGGGAGGUUGAGGCUGCAGUGAGCUGUGAUUGCACCACUACACUCCAGCUGGGAUGACAGAACAAGUCUCCAUCUCUCUCUCUAUAUAUAUAAAUGCGUGUGUGUGUGUGUGUGUGUG